This 239-nucleotide ribosomal RNA is filed under the name uncultured bacterium. Its description in RNAcentral is "partial 16S ribosomal RNA". It matches the Rfam family "Bacterial small subunit ribosomal RNA", at positions 524 to 762 of the family's 1533-position model. The record is from RNAcentral.
UACGUAGGGGGCGAGCGUUGUCCGGAAUUAUUGGGCGUAAAGAGCGUGUAGGCGGUUCGGUAAGUCCGCCGUGAAAAUCCGAGGCUCAACCUCGGGCUUGCGGUGGAUACUGUCGGGCUAGAGGAUGGUAGAGGGGAGUGGAAUUCCCGGUGUAGCGGUGAAAUGCGUAGAUAUCGAGAGGAACACCUGCGGCGAAGGCGGGUUGCUGGGCUGACACUGACGCUGAGGCGCGAAAGCCA